UGCACAGAGCCCCUUCAAAAUCUAAUUAGAAUCAAAUAAUAAUGUGGAAUUGUAGAAUUAAAAGGGACACUAUAGUCACCAAAACCACUACAGCUUAACGUAUGGGACUGGUGUCUACAGACAGUCAAUGCAGUAUUUUAAAUGUAAAAGUCGAAUUGGUAGAGAAAAUGCAGUGUUGACAUUGUUCUCUAGUAACACCUCCAAGUGCUGUCACUCAAACGUACACUAG
Pelobates cultripes (western spadefoot toad) is the source of this 229-nucleotide non-coding RNA. Lineage: Eukaryota; Metazoa; Chordata; Amphibia; Anura; Pelobatidae. The record is from the annotation of a GenBank genome assembly.